GCCCCAGAGGCACAGUGGUUAAAUGCUUGGUUGCUAACCGAAAGGUUGGUGGUUCAAACCCACCCAGUGGCU
This 72-nucleotide transfer RNA is filed under the name Loxodonta africana (African savanna elephant). It matches the Rfam family "tRNA". Rfam says of the family: Transfer RNA (tRNA) molecules are approximately 80 nucleotides in length. Their secondary structure includes four short double-helical elements and three loops (D, anti-codon, and T loops). The record is from Rfam by way of RNAcentral. Lineage: Eukaryota; Metazoa; Chordata; Mammalia; Proboscidea; Elephantidae.